Molecule: ribosomal RNA, 406 nt
Filed under: uncultured bacterium
Lineage: Bacteria
Description: bacterial SSU rRNA
Rfam family: Bacterial small subunit ribosomal RNA
Source: RNAcentral
AGCUUGCUAGAGUUGGAAGAGUUGCGAACGGGUGAGUAACGCGUAGGUAACCUGCCUAUUAGCGGGGGAUAACUAUUGGAAACGAUAGCUAAUACCGCAUAAUAGUGUUUAACACAUGUUAGAGACUUGAAAGAUGCAAUUGCAUCACUAGUAGAUGGACCUGCGUUGUAUUAGCUAGUUGGUGGGGUAACGGCCUACCAAGGCGACGAUACAUAGCCGACCUGAGAGGGUGAUCGGCCACACUGGGACUGAGACACGGCCCAGACUCCUACGGGAGGCAGCAGUAGGGAAUCUUCGGCAAUGGGGGCAACCCUGACCGAGCAACGCCGCGUGAGUGAAGAAGGUUUUCGGAUCGUAAAGCUCUGUUGUAAGAGAAGAACGUGUGUGAGAGUGGAAAGUUCACACA